UCUGGUGCCGAUAGCUGUGGGGAUCCACCCGUUCCCAUACCGAACACGGCAGUUAAGCCCACAUACGCCGAAAGUACUUGGCUGGAAACGGCCUGGGAGGAUAGGUAGGCGCCGGUU
RNAcentral lists this ribosomal RNA (117 nucleotides) under Sporomusaceae bacterium. Lineage: Bacteria; Bacillati; Bacillota; Negativicutes; Selenomonadales; Sporomusaceae. The record is from RNAcentral.